RNAcentral lists this ribosomal RNA (445 nucleotides) under Streptomyces sp. A00070. RNAcentral's name for it is "bacterial SSU rRNA". It matches the Rfam family "Bacterial small subunit ribosomal RNA", at positions 56 to 516 of the family's 1533-position model. Lineage: Bacteria; Bacillati; Actinomycetota; Actinomycetes; Kitasatosporales; Streptomycetaceae. The record is from RNAcentral.
UGCAAGUCGAACGAUGAACCGGUUUCGGCCGGGGAUUAGUGGCGAACGGGUGAGUAACACGUGGGCAAUCUGCCCUGCACUCUGGGAUAAGCCCGGGAAACUGGGUCUAAUACCGGAUACGACACAUGAGCUCAUGCUCGUGUGUGGAAAGUUCCGGCGGUGCAGGAUGAGCCCGCGGCCUAUCAGCUUGUUGGUGGGGUAAUGGCCUACCAAGGCGACGACGGGUAGCCGGCCUGAGAGGGUGACCGGCCACACUGGGACUGAGACACGGCCCAGACUCCUACGGGAGGCAGCAGUGGGGAAUAUUGCACAAUGGGCGAAAGCCUGAUGCAGCGACGCCGCGUGAGGGAUGACGGCCUUCGGGUUGUAAACCUCUUUCAGCAGGGAAGAAGCGAAAGUGACGGUACCUGCAGAAGAAGCACCGGCUAACUACGUGCCAGCAGCG